RNAcentral lists this long non-coding RNA (1055 nucleotides) under Echeneis naucrates (live sharksucker). Its description in RNAcentral is "lncRNA (ENSENLG00000012871.1)". Lineage: Eukaryota; Metazoa; Chordata; Actinopteri; Carangiformes; Echeneidae. The record is from RNAcentral.
UUCACACACACGCACACACACACACGCACACACACACAGCCAUCUCUCGGCUGGACGGCGGUCGGCGGACAGAAGAUGGUGGCGGCUGCGGCCACAGCGUUGGCCGCCGCGCCCGGAUGAGGGCACACGGCGUUUCCUGCGGGAGUGGACGGCGCUGCGCUGCGCGGAGAGCGGCCACAUCACGCAAACAGGACAAUCCCAUCCCUCCGAGGACGCUGUUGGGAUUUUGGAAAUGCAGGAGCCGAACCUUCACGUCAGGCUGGGAUUAAAGGACAGGUAUUUGGAGACCUUCUGCACAAGCUCCUCUCUGCGCACGGAGACUCCGGAGGGGGAAGUCAGGAAAGGACGGGGCUGACUCCGCGGGAACUGUUGCGAUCAGGCCCUGCAGCCAAGAGCAUGUGGGCACUUGGUGACAGCUUUUUCACUCGUUUGGGACUAAAACAGCAGACUCGGAUCUUGCAGAUUGUUUUGAGAGACGCUGCGCAGGAUUUGUUUUGGAUGAAGUUUUUGCCCAGCUCUCCGUGUUCCCAGUGGAACCCUAAAACUAAAUGGAUCAGCGGUAAUGGACGUGCAUCACCAAUGAACGCGUAAUUCACGCUGGCAGCCCUCCAACAUUCAGUGACACAGCUCCACUUGGAUUUACAGCUUCUCCACAAACGGAUCGCAGCCAUUUCUCGAGUUUUCCGGAUUCUGGUGCACAGUUCUCCUAAAUAUUUUCCCAAUUUGUAAGACUGCAGGCUUGCAGAGUGGACUUGGCCGGGAGCAGAGCAGGAGUGAACCUUGCAGUCUCAAGUGCGUCAAAACAGUCAGGAACACGGAGGAAUGCAGGGACUGACGUCAAGAGGGGCAAUAAUGAUCUACUCCAAAUCUUUAGAAGGUCUGCUGGUGUUUCUGCUGCCACUACACUGCUAACUGAGAGGAAUUUCCCCUGCAAGGCCUUUUUGUGCUCUUUAUUUUCUUUUUUUCACCUUAAAGAUUUUCCAAUCAUUACCCUGCCUCCUACCCAGCAGCCCAACACUAUGCCUUACUGUUUCAUCUGUUGUUUUUGAAUUAGC